Molecule: long non-coding RNA, 3588 nt
Filed under: Triticum aestivum (bread wheat)
Lineage: Eukaryota; Viridiplantae; Streptophyta; Magnoliopsida; Poales; Poaceae
Description: long non-coding RNA (TAES_LNC012248)
Source: RNAcentral
GGGUAUUACUUGCUGGCCGAAUAUUAUUCUAGAGGAGAAGUCUUAUUUUCUGAGGCAAGUAGCUACUUUACUAACCCUCAAAUGCGUUAUGUUCCUUUGAUUAUCUGAUUGUAUUGUUGAACCUUGAUCUUUAUUGAUCCUCUCUUGAUCCUUGAGAGAGGGAUGUGUUGUCCUCGUAUUCCAUUUGUUGAUGGAAUCAGAGUAUUUUGGAGGUACUCGUGAGAAGUCAUACGCGUAUUGUCUUUGACUGAUAUUACAGUGAUUCUACCGUUGAUUCAAAAACAUAUCCUAUUUUGUAUUGGUGUCACAACGGCAAACGUAAUAUACCGGUCACAGUUCAGGUAUGGGACUGUCUGGGUUCUUCACUAAGGACGGACCUUGUUCGGGAACAUGUCGGUGAUGGAUCCGUAGGAGCGACCGACAUCAGUAGGUCCAGGUGUUUGGGUCUUAGUGGGUACAAGAGCUCUGCUCUUCUGGAACCUGUGUGGUUCUAGUCGAGACUGUCGACGUCGGAGUACCCCUCUUAAGAGCGUAAAAGUGUGAAAUUUCACCCCUGUGACUCCCGGGUUGGGAAGCUUGCGGUCACGUGUGAUGCCAAUACCUCCCUUGUUCGUCUUUGAUUAUACUAUUUAUUUUACACAUCUCCAGCAAAAUAUGUUCCAGUGAUUGUUACCUUGUUUAUCCUUUGGAUUCAGUUCGUUUGUUGAUCUACAACAUUUUACCAUUGCUUUUGUUGAAUAAUGAAGUAUCUGCUUGCUGAGUAUGAUUUAUCGUACUCACCCUUGUCUCCUCCGUCUUUUUAGAUGCAGCCGAUGUAACUUAAGUAUGCCCAGAAGAUGUCAUCCAAUAUUAGGUUGGACCAGUGGGUAGGAAGUGACUAGAGAAUUUAAUGUAGUUUGCCUAUUUGUAAAUGUAAAGAAAUUUGUAAACCAAAUAUAUGAGAUUUUGUGAUCCACUGCUGGUUUAUGCCUGCUUUAUCAUGCCUUGCGUGACAAUAGGCCUCUGGUCUAUAGGCGCGCGGCGGCUGUCUCGCCUAGGCCCGGUCUCGGGGCAUGACAGUUAAAGUGAUAUCAGAGCUCUAGGUUUUUAGGUUGCACUGGGAUAAAGGGGUAGAUCGUCGAAUAUAUUUGUGUUGUGUGACAGCUAUGAAGAUUUUAUUUUCAUAUCUUGUCUCAACUAGUUUGUGUGUUGGUACUCAUGAAUAGUUUCAACAGAUAUCCAGGCAAAUAAAAAGAAUAGUGUACACAUUAUUGAUGAAAUUUGAGGAUGCAUGGAAAUAAAUAGACAUCUUGUUAGAUUAAUACAUGACUUAAUAUUUGUGUAGAUUUUCUUGUUUAAGACAACCGGUAAUAAUGUUCUAGUAAUGGGACAAUUGCUAUACCACUAUCUAUCCUUUUUGUUAAUGAAUUUACCAAAUAAAAUGUUUAGUGUUGCCAACUUAUGUUAUAGCAGAUAUAUCCAUGAAUUGUAGAAAGAUUGCAAAUCUUUUUUGCAUUAUUUUUAAUUAAUUAUUGAGCAUGCAUCAAAUAAACUGUUCCAAAUAUGAUGGGAUGGAAUUUGAUCACUAAAAAAACAUAGAUGUUAGUGUUGAAUUUCGGGGACGAAAUUCUUAUAAGGUGGGAAGGAUGUAAUAACCCAUAUUUUUGGGUUAUUGAUUUAAGUUAAGAUAAGUAAAUUUUUAUUAUUUUGUUAACAUAAAUAAUUGAGCGAAGAAGACAUGCUAGAUUAUUGUUGCAAGUAAUUAAAUAGAACUGUAAUUUUUGCAUGCGUAAAAUAUUAGAUGGAAAUGGACCAGGUACAAAUGAUAGAUUGGUAGAUAUUUCCAAGUACUAGAAUUCCAAGUCAACUAGGUGCAUGCAUGUCAUGAUGAGAAUGCACACGUAUGUACUGUUCUUGCUAGCUAAGUAAAAAAUCUAUGUGUACGUGGAGGUUGGCGUGGCAUGCAUGUAGUCUCUUGGACAUUCUAGUCCUAUACGUGGGCUCUUCCUAUGGUGCCAGGUUUGAUUAGGCCUUUGCACUAGAUGUAGGGGCAGCAGCCAAAUCAUUUUUUACCUAGCUUCAAGGGCCAAGGGUCAAGCGGCAAGAGUCACUGCGGCUGAGAUAUUUUAGCUAGUGACCGACUGUCAGCUCCUAUAAAUAGAACGCUCCUGCUGCUGCUCAAAGCACAACUCCGAGAGAGAAUUAGAUACUAGAGGGGAGAGUAUGAGAGAGAAAGAGGGUAAGAGAGAUAAAGAAUGCAUGCAUGCGCAUACAUGUUUGAAGUGCUAUGGAGAGAGGUGUCGAGCCAUCUGUCUAAAAAAGAAUAUUAGCAUAUGUAUGGUUCAUCAGAUUUUUAUACGACGGGGUAUUACUUGCUGGCCGAAUAUUAUUCUAGAGGAGAAGUCUUAUUUUCUGAGGCAAGUAGCUACUUUACUAACUCUCAAAUCCGUUAUCUUCCUUUGAUUAUCUGAUUGUAUUGUUGCACCUUGAUCCUUAUUGAUCCUCUCUUGAUCCUUGAGAGAGGGAUGUGUUGUCCUCGUAUUCCAUUUGUUGAUGGAAUCAGAGUAUUUUGGAGGAACUCGUGAGAAGUCAUACGCGUAUUGUCUUUGAUUGAUAUUACUGUGAUUCUACUGUUGAUUCAAACACAUAUCCUAUUUUGUAUUGGUGUCACGACGGCAAACAUAUUGUACCGAUCACAUUUCAGUUAUGGGACUGUCUGAGUUCUCCGCUAAGGACGGACCUUGUUCAGGAACGUGUCGAUGAUGGAUCCGUAGGAGCGAUCGACAUCAGUAGGUCCAGGUGUUCGGGUCUUAGUGGGUACAAGAGCUCUGCUCUUCUGGAACCUGUGUGGUUCUAGUCGAGACUGUCGACGUCGGAGUACCCCUCUUAAGAGCGUAAAAGUGUGAAAUUUCACCCCUGUGACUCCCGGGUUGGAAAGCUUGCGGUCAUGUUUGAUGCCAAUAAUUUCCUUGUUCAUUUCGUCUGUUGAUCUACACCAUCAUACCAUCGCUCCUUGUUGAAUAGUGAAGUAUCUGCUUGCUGAGUAUGAUUUGUCGUACUCACCCUUGCUUCCUUAUUUUUUUUAGAUGCGAACGAUGUAACUUAAGUAUGUUCAGAAGAUGUCUUCAUCCAAGACUAGGCUUGACCAGCGGGUGGGAAGCGACUAGAGAAUAUGAUGUCUUUACUCAACUAUUUGUAGAUGUCAAGGAAUUUGUAUAGCAAAUAUAUUAGCUUUUGUGAUCCACUUCUGGUCUAUGCCUGCUUUAUCAUGCCUUGCGUGACUAUAGGCCUCUGGUCUAUAGGCUCGCGGCGGCUGUCUCGCCUAGGCCCGGUCUCGGGGCAUGACAAUUAAAGUGCAUAUUUUGUAGAACGUAAUGUAUCGGUCAAAGUUCAGGUAUGGGACUGUCUGAGUUCUCCGCUAAGGACGGACCUUGUUCAGGAACGUGUCGGUGAUGGAUCCGUAGGAGCGAUCGACAUCAGUAGGUCCAGGUGCAACAAUAAAAUCAGAUAAUCAAAGGAAGAUAACGGAUUUGAGAGUUAGUAAAGUAGCUACUUGCCUCAGAAAAUAAGACUUCUCCUCUAGAAUAAUAUUCGGCCAGCAAGUAAUAC